This 101-nucleotide small nuclear RNA is filed under the name Chinchilla lanigera (long-tailed chinchilla). The record is from RNAcentral. Lineage: Eukaryota; Metazoa; Chordata; Mammalia; Rodentia; Chinchillidae.
GUGCUCGCUUCAGCAGCACGUGUACUAAAAUCAGACCAAUACGGAGAUUAGCGUGGCCUCUGCACAAAGGUGACAUGCAAAUUCAUAAGCACAACUCUUCU